Molecule: transfer RNA, 72 nt
Filed under: Rattus norvegicus (Norway rat)
Lineage: Eukaryota; Metazoa; Chordata; Mammalia; Rodentia; Muridae
Rfam family: tRNA
About the family: Transfer RNA (tRNA) molecules are approximately 80 nucleotides in length. Their secondary structure includes four short double-helical elements and three loops (D, anti-codon, and T loops).
Source: Rfam by way of RNAcentral
GGGGAUUCAGCUCAGUGGUAGAGCACUUGCCUAGCAAGCACAAGGCCCUGGGUUCAGUCCCCAGCUCCCCCC